This 553-nucleotide ribosomal RNA is filed under the name Bacillus xiapuensis. RNAcentral's name for it is "bacterial SSU rRNA". It matches the Rfam family "Bacterial small subunit ribosomal RNA", at positions 331 to 873 of the family's 1533-position model. The record is from RNAcentral. Lineage: Bacteria; Bacillati; Bacillota; Bacilli; Caryophanales; Bacillaceae.
UGGGGGGCCUACGGGAGGCAGCAGUAGGGAAUCUUCCGCAAUGGACGAAAGUCUGACGGAGCAACGCCGCGUGAGUGAAGAAGGUUUUCGGAUCGUAAAACUCUGUUGUCAGGGAAGAACAAGUGCCGGAGUAACUGCCGGCACCUUGACGGUACCUGGCCAGAAAGCCACGGCUAACUACGUGCCAGCAGCCGCGGUAAUACGUAGGUGGCAAGCGUUGUCCGGAAUUAUUGGGCGUAAAGCGCGCGCAGGCGGUCUUUUAAGUCUGAUGUGAAAGCCCACGGCUCAACCGUGGAGGGUCAUUGGAAACUGGAAGACUUGAGUGCAGAAGAGAAGAGCGGAAUUCCACGUGUAGCGGUGAAAUGCGUAGAGAUGUGGAGGAACACCAGUGGCGAAGGCGGCUCUUUGGUCUGUAACUGACGCUGAGGCGCGAAAGCGUGGGGAGCGAACAGGAUUAGAUACCCUGGUAGUCCACGCCGUAAACGAUGAGUGCUAAGUGUUGGGGGGUUUCCGCCCCUCAGUGCUGCAGCUAACGCAUAAGCACUCACGCGCU